AUUGAACGCUGGCGGCAUGCCUUACACAUGCAAGUCGAACGGCAGCACGGGUGCUUGCACCUGGUGGCGAGUGGCGAACGGGUGAGUAAUACAUCGGAACAUGUCCUGUAGUGGGGGAUAGCCCGGCGAAAGCCGGAUUAAUACCGCAUACGAUCUACGGAUGAAAGCGGGGGACCUUCGGGCCUCGCGCUAUAGGGUUGGCCGAUGGCUGAUUAGCUAGUUGGUGGGGUAAAGGCCUACCAAGGCGACGAUCAGUAGCUGGUCUGAGAGGACGACCAGCCACACUGGGACUGAGACACGGCCCAGACUCCUACGGGAGGCAGCAGUGGGGAAUUUUGGACAAUGGGCGAAAGCCUGAUCCAACAAUGCCGCGUGUGUGAAGAAGGCCUUCGGGUUGUAAAGCACUUUUGUCCGGAAAGAAAUCCUUGGCUCUAAUACAGUCGGGGGAUGACGGUACCGGAAGAAUAAGCACCGGCUAACUACGU
RNAcentral lists this ribosomal RNA (485 nucleotides) under uncultured bacterium. RNAcentral describes it as "partial 16S ribosomal RNA". It matches the Rfam family "Bacterial small subunit ribosomal RNA", at positions 30 to 506 of the family's 1533-position model. The record is from RNAcentral.